RNAcentral lists this ribosomal RNA (497 nucleotides) under uncultured bacterium. Its description in RNAcentral is "partial 16S ribosomal RNA". It matches the Rfam family "Bacterial small subunit ribosomal RNA", at positions 28 to 507 of the family's 1533-position model. The record is from RNAcentral.
GAUGAACGCUGGCGGCGUGCCUAAUACAUGCAAGUCGAGCGAACAGACGAGGCGCUUGCUCCUCGGACGUUAGCGGCGGACGGGUGAGUAACACGUGGAUAACCUACCUAUAAGACUGGGAUAACUUCGGGAAACCGGAGCUAAUACCGGAUAAUAUAUUGAACCGCAUGGUGCAAUAGUGAAAUACGGUUUUGGUGUCACUUAUAGAUGGAUCCGCGCCGCCUUAGCUAGUUGGUAAGGUAACGGCUUACCAAGGCGAAGAUGCGUAGCCGAGCUGAGAGGGUGAUCGGCCACACUGGAACUGAGACACGGUCCAGACUACUACGGGAGGCAGCAGUAGGGAAUCUUCCGCAAAGGGCGAAAGCCUGACGGAGCAACGCCGCGUGAGUGAUGAAGGUCUUCGGAUCGUAAAACUCUCUUAUUAGGGAAGAACCAAUGUGUAAGUAACUAUGCACGUCUUGACGGUACCUAAUCAGAAAGCCACGGCUAACUACGUG